GCAACCUGAAAACACGAGACUGAAACAUAUGAAACAUUUUAGAACUUAUUAAACAUUUUAGAACUUAUUGUUGCAACAUAUUUGUUGAACAUAUGCAAUGUCCAGAUCCAAAGCUUGCAACAAUACUUCUGGGAACAAAUGAAACAUUUCGAACAAAACUCUUGCAACAUGGCUCCGAAACACUUGCAACAUAUGCAACAUGUGCAACAUCUCCC
Molecule: long non-coding RNA, 215 nt
Filed under: Setaria viridis
Lineage: Eukaryota; Viridiplantae; Streptophyta; Magnoliopsida; Poales; Poaceae
Description: long non-coding RNA (SVIR_LNC009364)
Source: RNAcentral